Oncorhynchus masou masou (cherry salmon) is the source of this 2446-nucleotide long non-coding RNA. RefSeq lists it as uncharacterized. The transcript has 2 exons. The record is from RefSeq and is a predicted model, not a curated record. NCBI's taxonomy places the organism in Eukaryota, Metazoa, Chordata, Actinopteri, Salmoniformes, Salmonidae.
CACUGGUAGAGAACACUAGUAGAGAACACUACUAGAGAACACUAGAAGAGAACAUUAGAUGAGAACACUACUAUAGAACACUACUAAAGAACACUAGUAGAGAACACUGGAAGAGGACACUGGUAGAGAACACUAAUAGAGACCACUAGAAGAGAACAUUAGAUGAGAACACUACUAUAGAACACUACUAAAGAACACUAGUUGAGAACACUAGUAGAGAACACUGGAAGAGGACACUGGUAGAGAACACUAGUAGGAAACACUAGUAGGUAACACUAGUAGAGAACACUAGAAUAGAACACUAGAAGAGAACACUAGAUGAGAAAACUAGUAGAAAACACUAGAAUAGAAAUCUAGAAGAGAAAACUGGUAGAAAAAAAUAGUAGAGAACACUAGUUAAGAACACUAGAAGAUAAACACUAGUAGAGAACACGAGUAGAGAACACGAGUAGAGAACACGAGUAGAGGACACGAGUAGAGAACGCUAGAAGAGAACACUAGGAGAGAACACUAGAAGAGAACGCUAGGAGAGAACACUAGUAGAAAACACUCGUAGGAAACACUAGUAGAGAACACUCGUACAGAACACUAGAAGAGACCACUAGUGGAGACCACUUGAUGAGAAACUAGUAGAGAACACUAGUAGAGAACACGAGUAGAGAACACUAGAAGAGACCACUAGUGGAGACCACUUGAUGAGAACACUAGCAGAGAACACUAGUAGAGAACACUAGUAGGAAACACUAGUAGAGAACACUAGUAGAGACCACUUGAAGAGAACACGAGAAGAGGACACUGGUAGAGAACACUAGUAGAGAACACUCGUAGGAAACACUAGAAGAGACCACUUGAUGAGAACACUAGUAGAGAACACUAGAAUAGGAUAUUGAGGAAACGUAUACCAAAUUGUUGCAGUGAAUUGUGUUGUUUUACAGGGUCAGCCGCAAUAGUACGGCACCCCUGGAGUAAAUUAUGACAAAGUGCCUUUCUCAAGAACACAUUAGAUUUUUCACCUUUACAGCUCAUUUAUUCAAAACAGAAUCCUUUCGGUUCCUGGCCCAACACUCUCACCGCUAGGCUACAUUCUCCCUAUGUCUCUAUGAGGAAGUCUGGGCUGGCGGGACACUUCCUACUACAGGAAUUGACCUGGUCCAUGGUGUCACAGAGAUAAGAGUCUCCUCUGCUCCUCUCAGGAGACAGGUUCACCCCAGGUCCACUCGCCUGGAAACUAGGUCUGGACAGGGAAGGAGGUUCAAAGCCAUUCCGAGAGAGAUAUGGAGAACGUUGUCCCGACUGACCAGUCAGCUAGUGUCCAUCCUAUCUUACCUUUAGUUUUAACCUCAGGUAAGAACCAGGAAGUGUGCUUGUUGUCAGAGGAAGUACAGGUGAAUGUAUGACCCAGGCAAACAUCUGUGAUUCGUUGACAAUAGGAUGGCCAGCAUUGCAUAGUUUAUGUAUGGUGUGAAAAUCUAAAAUCAUUUCAUGUUUUCCUCAAAACCAUUCCUCCCUCAGAUCUACCCAUAUGACGUGUUGGUGGUCACCAUAAGGAGGCAGAACCAGCCCCCCAAUGACGUGGACAGAGCCAGGCUAGAGCGCCACCUGUCUCCUGAGGACUUCUACCGGGUGUUUAGGAUGACUAUGUCUGAUUUUGACCGGCUGGCACUGUGGAAGAGAAACGAGCUCAAGAAACAAGUCAGGCUGUUCUGAAAGGAUCAGACUGUAGAAGCUCAGUAUAGCAGCCUGCUGGGCUUAACGUUAGAGGGGCCUGAGUCCUCACUGAGAGCCAUAAUAACCAGCCUGGGUAGUCCUCGAUCCAUCAGGUCACAGCAGAACCAGAACUAAAACCAGCUUGGGUUCUAGCCAUAGAAAUAGAAUGAGUUGUAAUGAUAAAGUUCUGUUGUUCCAGGACAUCCUCCGGGCCAGAGAAAUCCAGCCAGUCUAUACAUCAAUAAUAUAUCUCUGGAGAAAGAGGAGUAACAGGCUCCUCCCCCUGAGCCAUGUCUGUUUGUGGGAGAACUAGUCCUUCUGCCUGUGCUUUCAGUAUUAUGUGUUUGCUUUAUUAGGGGGAGUUUAACUAUAGUUCAUGGCUGUCAUGUUAUGAGGUUAUAGCAGAUUUGAACCCUUUUCAGGUCGCAGGUUUGGAGAGCUCUGAGACAUUAUCUUAUGAUCAAGCAGGAAAGAGAACACCAGCAAACUGUCCAAACAGAACGUUCUACCAGAUAAACUCUGUCCUUGCUUUCUUUACUCUAAAUAUAUUGUUUCAUUCAGACUUUUAUUUAUUUAUUUUUUACAUUGAGACUAAAACGUUGUAUUUCUUAAUAGAGCAAGGGUCCACCACGGAGUGAAAGGCUAGAUCGAUGUAUUGCGGUAGUACAGUUUAAGAAAAUGUGUGGAUCAUUGUGUGUUUCCUGAAAAACCAAAGUAAUACAACUAUAUUAAGAACAAA